RNAcentral lists this long non-coding RNA (535 nucleotides) under Homo sapiens (human). Its description in RNAcentral is "HSALNT0398762". The record is from RNAcentral. Lineage: Eukaryota; Metazoa; Chordata; Mammalia; Primates; Hominidae.
ACCCUGCCCCCCAGCUCCACGUAGGGGACCUGGAGUGCACAGAGAAUCCGCAGUAGAGAGCAGGAAGUCAGAGAUAGGGCUGCUGCUGCACUGGCCUCGUCCCUGGAUCCCUCGCCGCAGAUCUGUCCUACACAGGGUUCCAGAGGAGUCAUCCUAACACCAUCUGACCCUGUCCCUCUCAUGCUCAAAACAUAUUUGUAGCCUUCAUCACCUUCAUGACAUGGAUACUGCUGAGUUCUCCAGACACUUCACUCCAGAGUGCAGCUAUUGUGAGAAAUGACUCUUUGUUCCCCAAAUAAGCCUCAGAAUCUGGAUAUGGGGCCUGAAUCUGGAUAUGGGGCCUCAACACAUGCUCCAACUUGGACUAGAAUGUCCUUCUCUCUGGUCUCAGUUAACUCUGUCCCUCAGGUCUCAGUGCAGAAGUCACCUCCACCACGAAGCCUCCUCUGUCUGACCCUCUGUUUUAAACUUUUUCCUACUGUAAAUAUGUCCCAUUUUCUGAAAAAAAUCAGCAUAUUUUAAAGUAUUCUGGCAC